Molecule: ribosomal RNA, 253 nt
Filed under: uncultured bacterium
Lineage: Bacteria
Description: partial 16S ribosomal RNA
Rfam family: Bacterial small subunit ribosomal RNA
Source: RNAcentral
UACAGAGGGUGCGAGCGCUGUUCGGAAUUACUGGGCGUAAAGCGCGCGUAGGCGGCUUGUCAAGUCAGGGGUGAAAUCCCACAGCUUAACUGUGGAACUGCCCUUGAAACUGUCAAGCUAGAGUGUCGGAGGGGAUAGCGGAAUUGCUAAUGUAGAGGUGAAAUUCGUAGAUAUUAGCAGGAACACCGGUGGCGAAGGCGGCUAUCUGGACGACAACUGACGCUGAGGCGCGAAAGCGUGGGGAUCAAACAGG